AUGGGGAAUCAGUGGAUAUCAUACACUAAAAAGUUAUUUAAGGACAGUGGGAGAGCCACGAGCACAGCUCCAUCUGUCUUCCCCUUGGUUUCCGGCUGUGAUCCCAACUUUGAAAGUUUAAGUUUCCUGGGCUGCCUUGUGUCUGGCUAUUUCCCUGAGCCAGUGACUGUGAGCUGGAACCCGGAAGUCUUGGAUGGGAUAAUCACAACUUUUCCAGCUGCCUAUGAUUCCACAUCUGGACUCUAUACCACUACCAGCCAACUUGCCAUCUCAGACGGGAGUUCCCAGGAAUUCACCUGCAGCGUGGACCACUUACCUACUAGCACCAAAAUCGAAAAACAUGUCUCUACAGGCCCUACAAAAAAUGGCCCUGUGAUACCACCCACAGUAAAGCUCUUCCAUUCAUCCUGUGACCCACGAGGAGAUGCUCAUUCCACCAUCCAGCUGCUCUGCCUUGUAUCUGGCUUCUCCCCAGCCCGUGUCAAAGUAACUUGGCUAGUGGAUGGACAAGAAGCUGAGAACCUCUUCCCCUACACAACCAGGCCCAAGAGGGAAGGAAGUCAGACCUUUUCUCUACAAAGUGAACUCAACAUCACACAAGGCCAGUGGACAUCAUUGAAGACCUACACCUGUCAAGUCACACACAAUGGCAGCAUCUAUAGAGACAAUGCCCAAAAGUGUUCAGACACUGACCCACGGGGCAUCAGUGCCUACCUUAGUCCACCUAGUGCCUUUGACCUUUACGUCAGCAAAGCACCCGUGCUCACAUGCCUGGUAGUGGACCUGGCCAGUGCAGAGAAUGUGAAGGUUUCUUGGACCCGAGAAAGUGGAGGUACCGUCAGUCCAAGCUCACCAGUGGUGAAGGAGCAGUAUAAUGGCACUGUCACAAUAACUUCAACCUUGCCUGUCCAGACAGAUGACUGGGUAGAGGGUGAAACAUAUACUUGCCAUUUGGAACACCCUGACCUGCCCUUCCCCCUCAUCAGGACCAUCUCCAAGGCUCCAGGCAAACGUAUAGCCCCUGAGGUAUACAUGUUCCCUCCAUCUGAAGAGGAAAAGGGAAACACUGUCUCCCUCACCUGCCUUAUUCGGGCCUUCUACCCUGCUGACAUCACUGUCCAAUGGCUGCGUGAUAACAAGGAUGACCACACUGGACACCAUACUACCACCCGGCCCCACAAAGACCAUGGACCUGACCCUUCCUUCUUCCUCUACAGCAGAAUGGUUGUCAACAGGUCUCAUUGGCAAGAAGGCCAUACAUUCACCUGCCGUGUGGUGCAUGAAGCCCUACCUGGCACCCGCACCCUCGACAAAAGCCUGCAUUAUUCAGCUGAUAUGAGUCAUGAGGACAUAUGCACAGAAAUGGAGAAUGAGGAAUUGGAUGGGCUCUGGACAACCAUCUAUGUCUUCAUCGUCCUCUUCCUUCUCAGCGUUUGCUAUAGUGCCACAGUCACCCUGUUCAAGGUGAAGUGGAUUUUUUCUGCAGUCCUGCAACUGAAGCCUGGGACCUUUCAUGACUACAAGAACAUGAUCCAGCAGGCCACCUAGACUUCAGACUAGGGGAGCCCCUGCCCCAGGACUCCAUGGGGGGCAAGUGUACCCAGCAACAUGAAGAUCUCUUCCCAAGUGGACAAAUGCCUAACAUAAUUGGGUCACUGAGUUCAAGACUUCUUUCCCCUGUACCUUAGGCCAUAAAGUUUCCCUAACUUCUAAAACACACGCUGUCCCUAGGCCUAGCCUAAGGACAAGAAAUGAGGUCCCUUAGUGUAAGGCUUCCUCCUGCCUUGGGUCCAAGAUGAGAUGUGCCUAAGCAGGAGUCAAGAGCCACAACUCUAGUGGGGUUCAUAGCAUUGAGUCUGUCUGAGUCAGAGUCUUAGAGCUAGGGGAAAUCGCACAGACAUAAGCCACUCACCUUUCAGAGGAAAAAAUGGAGACCUAGAGAAAGGAAGUGACUUGUCUAAGCCUCAUAGUAAAUUUGUAGCAGAUUCAGAGAGGCCCCUAUCCCAGACCCAAAGACUAGACUGUUCAACUGAUCUAUGGCCUUGAUGGACCUUCCUGCCCCAGCCCCCCAUGCCGGAAUCCUAGGCCAUCUCCCUCUGUCCCAUUCUCUCAUUUCCUUAGGAAUGGCCUCAUCAGGCCAGAGUAGGAACUAUGCAACCUUAAAUGAGGAUGUGUUACAGAAGGAGACUGGGUGAAAGGAUAUGUGGUGGGCCACUUCAGGGCACUCCCACCCAUGAGGCCCAGGUGUCCUUCUCUGACUGAUUAAGACCCUGAACCUACUAGAUCUCAAUCCAAUUCAAACCAGAGUCCAUAGGCCAGCUCAAUCAACAGUUCAGGAUGGCACAGAGAAUAGUCCAGAAAUCAGAGCUCAAAUGGUUGUGUGGUAUAUGGGAAAGAGCCCUUGGAUCAAAGGAUCCAAGUUCAAAUACUGCAUCUGAUACUUACUAUUUCUGUCACCCUAAGCAAAACGCUGAGCCUCGCUGCGCCUUGGAGAAGGUAAGACUAGAUGAUUUCUAAGGUCCCUUCUAUGUCAAUGAUCCCAUUCAAUAAAUACAAGAACAUAGUCCAUUCCACACCCCAAAUCUUAGAAUCCAGUCCAUAGCCUAGAACCAAGCUCAGAUUUAGGCCAUAGCAUAAAAACUAGCCCAGAAACCUAGAAACCAGAGACCAGCUUAGAGCUCAUCUCUCAGAGCCUUGCCCUGCUCCUUCUCUUGGAUCAAGUCUACUAUCAUUGCAAAUAUAAAUUCUUGUAGCCAAAGCAAAGUCAUCCAAUUGCAGCACAUCCACAACCAGCUUUAUUUGUUCCUUGCUUCUCAGCCUCAUUUGUUGUGGGUCCCCACACACACAUACACACAUAACACCACAGGGUCCCAUUCCACUCCUCCUACUCUCCCCCUGACACAGCUUCCUCUAUGAGAGAAUGACCCCUGAACCCUUUUGUUGGGACAAGAAAAACAACUGUUCCUAUGACUCUGAGAGAUGAUUUUCAAAGUAUCCACUUAUUCAUCUCUUUCUGGCCAAAGCAAUCUUUUAGCAAAAAAAAAAAUCUGUGUUUCUUCCCAGCUGGAUCCAAAGCUCAGAGUCCACCCCAAUCUAUGCUCUAAAACAAAAGGGAGGAACCUUUGGGCAAAGCUGGGGUCAAUUAGGGGUGGGGACCAUCAAACCUGGAAGCAGAUAUUGUCUCUCUGUGUUUGUCGUUGCAGCGAGAUCAGAAAUCUACA
Molecule: non-coding RNA, 3221 nt
Organism: Trichosurus vulpecula (common brushtail)
Lineage: Eukaryota; Metazoa; Chordata; Mammalia; Diprotodontia; Phalangeridae
Source: the annotation of a RefSeq genome assembly